Molecule: RNase P RNA, 169 nt
Filed under: Thermoplasmata archaeon
Lineage: Archaea; Methanobacteriati; Thermoplasmatota; Thermoplasmata
Description: partial RNase P RNA component
Rfam family: Archaeal RNase P
About the family: Ribonuclease P (RNase P) is a ubiquitous endoribonuclease, found in archaea, bacteria and eukarya as well as chloroplasts and mitochondria. Its best characterised activity is the generation of mature 5'-ends of tRNAs by cleaving the 5'-leader elements of precursor-tRNAs. Cellular RNase Ps are ribonucleoproteins.
Source: RNAcentral
GCCUGCAGCGAGGAUGAUUCCCUGAGGAUGACGUUGCUGCAGGAUUUGGUGAAACGGCCCCCGCCCUGGAGCAAGUCCAAAUACCGGGAUCGGUUGCCCAGGACCGCCCGGAGGUAGGACGCUAAGACGAAUGCCGCCUGAAACAGAAGAGGGAUUACUACCCACACCU